RNAcentral lists this ribosomal RNA (423 nucleotides) under uncultured bacterium. RNAcentral's name for it is "bacterial SSU rRNA". It matches the Rfam family "Bacterial small subunit ribosomal RNA", at positions 355 to 786 of the family's 1533-position model. The record is from RNAcentral.
UGGGGAAUAUUGCACAAUGGGCGAAAGCCUGAUGCAGCGACGCCGCGUGAGGGAUGACGGCCUUCGGGUUGUAAACCUCUUUCAGCAGGGACGAAGCGUGAGUGACGGUACCUGCAGAAGAAGCACCGGCUAACUACGUGCCAGCAGCCGCGGUAAUACGUAGGGUGCGAGCGUUGUCCGGAAUUAUUGGGCGUAAAGAGCUCGUAGGCGGUUUGUUGCGUCGGCUGUGAAAACUUCACGCUUAACGUGGAGCCUGCAGUCGAUACGGGCAGACUUGAGUUCGGCAGGGGAGACUGGAAUUCCUGGUGUAGCGGUGAAAGCGCGCAGAUAUCAGGAGGGAACACCGGUGGCGAAGGCGGGUCUCUGGGCCGAUACUGACGGCUGAGGAGCGAAAGCUGUGGGGAGCGAACAGGAUUAGAUACC